Molecule: long non-coding RNA, 708 nt
Filed under: Equus caballus (horse)
Lineage: Eukaryota; Metazoa; Chordata; Mammalia; Perissodactyla; Equidae
Description: lncRNA (ENSECAG00000054086.1)
Source: RNAcentral
AAAUCCCGUAGCCGGUCCUGUUCUCAACCUUGACAUAGGGCCAGUGGGACAAGGCUGUGGGCAAAGUGUGAGUUUGGGGUUUUCUUGUUUAGGGGGUCCCCGGACAGAGCUCUAGUGACAGGGGUCUCUUGUGGAAAUUGCACUCUAUCAGACCUGGGGCUCUGUCCUGCUGGCCUUGUUACCUGGGCAAGUCACCUCACCUCUCUGAGUCCCAAGUUCCAAGGAGAUGACCUCCGAUCCCUUCUAGCUCAGCCACUCCCCCCUGGGGAAGAGGCCAAACCUCUCUGCAAUCUUGGUACACACACACACACACACACACAGCACAGCCAAAGCUUCAACAUAGGGCUGCAUUGUUACCUCUGGAGAGAUGGAUCUGGGCGUCCCCACACCCAGAACUCACCCAGGACCUGGAGCCCACCUGUCCUGCCAUCUUCUCUGCUAAGGCCCCACCCCACUGCAGUGCAGGGGCCGCUGAAUCCAGGGUGCCUUCCUGGGAGCAGAAACAUCUGAAGAGGACUCUGGAGAAGAGUGUGGGAUCGGUUCCCAAACCUGAGAGGGACAUAAAUUUUCCCCAGCAGCACCCCGGAAACGGAGGGCUCCUGGGAAGAUGAAAUGGGAUGGCGUAUACAAGGCCCCGGACAGGGACAGGUUCCCCAGUCAGACACCCCCACCAGACGCCCUCCCCCAGGCUCCUAGCCGCUCCCGGCC